This 784-nucleotide small RNA is filed under the name Pan troglodytes (chimpanzee). Its description in RNAcentral is "retained intron". Lineage: Eukaryota; Metazoa; Chordata; Mammalia; Primates; Hominidae. The record is from RNAcentral.
UGCACUCAGUGGUGAUGAACUGGGGCAGUCUACAGAAGAAAAGGUUAAGAAUGUCUUGGAUGACAUUUUGGAGAAACUUCCAGAAGAGUUCAACAUGGCAGAGAUAAUGCAAAAAAAUUCAAAUAGAAGCCCAUAUGUUCUUGUUUGCUUCCAAGAAUGUGAGAGGAUGAAUAUUCUCAUUCGGGAAAUACGUAUAUCACUUGAACAACUGGACCGUAGUUUGAAGGUAAGCUUAAAGUGAGGCUAUAGUAGACUUCAGCACAUUGGAAGAUAUUCACUGUGUGGCUUUUUUUCUCCAUGCAAGGGGGAAUUGGCAUUAUCUCCUGCUGUGGAAGCCCAGCAGUUUGCAUUGAGUUAUGACACGGUACCAGACACUUGGAGCAAACUGGCUUAUCCUUCUACUUAUGGCCUAGCCCAGUGGUUCAACGACCUCCUCCUGCGAUGCCGAGAACUUGAUACUUGGACACAAGACCUUACCCUUCCGGCUGUCGUGUGGCUCUCCGGCUUCUUCAACCCUCAGUCCUUCUUAACGGCAAUCAUGCAGACGAUGGCUCGAAAAAAUGAGUGGCCACUGGAUAAAACGUGCUUGACUGUUGAUGUUACCAAAAAAACAAAGGAAGAUUAUGGCCACCCGCCAAGGGAAGGUGCAUACCUCCACGGACUCUUCAUGGAGGGCGCCCACUGGGACACCCAAGCAGGAACCAUUGUUGAAGCCCGUCUCAAGGAGCUGGCAUGCCCUAUGCCGGUCAUCUUUGCAAAAGCCACCCCCGUGGACAGACAGGAA